Talpa occidentalis (Iberian mole) is the source of this 2432-nucleotide long non-coding RNA. RefSeq lists it as uncharacterized. The transcript has 5 exons. NCBI's taxonomy places the organism in Eukaryota, Metazoa, Chordata, Mammalia, Eulipotyphla, Talpidae. The record is from RefSeq and is a predicted model, not a curated record.
UCGCUCCGGCCGCUGAGCAGGCUGAGGGCGACUUCCGCCCAUCUCGUCGCGGGGCACCCUGCCCGCAGUGAACCAGCCGCACCUCACGGGACCCUGCUCCCCUGGGAGCCGACCCGCCUUACAUUCGGCACGCCUCGGGGUGAUGCGCUGAGCCCUCAUGGCCACACUGGCCUGUGACACCUUCCGAAGGUUUUUGGCUAUUAUGAACAGAACUGCUAAGAACACUUAGUUUCAAGCUUCUGUGUGGACACGUUUUCAUUUCCCUUGGGCAAAUACCUGGGAGUGAAAUAGCUGCAUCAUAUGGGCCAACCUGAUCAGUGGGACUGAGAGCAAGGUCAGUGUCUGCACAGGCAGAAGCAGCAUGAAGCCCGAACAGGACAGAGUCCAAGGCCUGAGAUGGAUGAGGGGCAGCCUCUCCAUCUCUGUGCCCCGAGGGCCCUGCUGAGCUGCCCACCAAGAGCCAUGAACACACCAAGCCCCUGGGGUUGGCCUGAAUACCACUUUCCACUAAAAGAAAACAGAAUUCUUGGGUCAAUAGCUCAUUUCAGUGCUGGAUCAAAGAAAGAUGCAUAUGGAACAUCUAUUUGUGCAAGACAGAAAGGAAUUGCUCAAAGAAUGUCAAAUGUCACAGAAGCCAGCCCAAAUCUAGGACAACUUGAGCAUCAAAAGAAGUAAAAGUAGUAACAGAUUAAAUGCAAUGGAAACCACACAUUCACACUGAUAUGAAGAAAUACUGAAAAAGUUCAAAGUUAGAUGAGAAAUAGCGCAUUUAGAUAAACUCAAAAGUAUCUCCCCUCAAAAUACUAACUGCAAAGAAAGUAAAUGGAAAAGCCUGGCAGACACCAUCUUACCCUUGAAAUGAAAAGGAGUUCCACUCGUAAUGGGACGAAGUGCCCCCUGAAGGGAUGUGAGGAGGACACAGCCCCUGCUGCAACGCUCCUGCCAGAGAUGCACAUAACUGUGAGGUGGCAUCAGUCAAAUCCAAAUGCAAAGGCACUCCAAAUGUCCCAAGGUCAUUCUUGACUAGAGGCCCAACUCACUGAAUCCUGGGCACAUGAUUCUGAACUAGAUCUUUUUGCUGUGAAGGCUUACUUGAUGUUGGGUGAAGCUGACGAUUGAGUAUAACAAGAUUAGCAUCAGCCUCCUGAUUUGAUUUUGAUGGUUGUACUAUACUGAAAUGGCACCACCUCUUGUUUGAAGGGAAAAUGUGAGGGUUACAAGCCUUCCGGGAACAAUUUGUUUCCAGAGUAAUCCGAAAAAAAUCCCUGCACUGCCCUUGAAACUUUUCAGGGGGUUUGAGAUUGUCACUCACACAUAAAGGCAGGCACACACACAUAUAUGUGAACACAUGCAUACAUUAUGCAUGCCACAUAUGCACAUGUGCAUGCAUACUACCUUUGGAGGAAGCACAUAUACUUUUUUCGUGUGUUUUUUAAAAAAAUUUAUUAAUUUUCUUACAUAGGUGUUCAUUUUUGUACAGUAUUUAAGUUCUCCCCUCAGGUAUAGUCCCUAUAGUUCUCCCACCACCAUGGCAUCCAUCAUUAUAGUCUCUUGUGCUCUUCCCUCCCCUGUUCUGACCCCUCUCCCUCUUCCUCCCCUGCUGUAGGCCUCAGAUCUAUGGUCAGAUUGCAAGUUCUAUCUUUUUCCUAACCCUUCGUUAGUUUUUCUAUAGGCCACCUUCUUGAUCCAUUCAUCUGAUUGGGGGCUGCGGCAGGCUACGCCUCCCAUGCUGUGGGGCAUUUAGUUUGUUUCCAUAUCUUGGCUAUUAGUGAGCACAUGUACUCUCUGACUCUACAAUUCGACUUCAGCAAUCUAUCCAAGGGAAAUAGAGUACCUGCCCAAGAUGUGUGCAGAAAAAUCAUUAAUGCUACAGAAACAAUGUCACAAGAUGAUGAGUCAAGGAGCAGAAAUACAUGAGUCAAGGUCAUAGCCUGAAUCCUGCUCAGACAUCAGCUGCUGUGGUUCCAACAGAGCCUGGCUCAAAAGGAUGCUUGGUUUGCUGGUGCCUGAGUCCAGCUCUGUCUGAAGAAGGCCAUUGGCCUGUAACUGUCUGUAAGGCGGAUGCAGGAAUGACCACAGACCAGUGAGGAGGAGGGGCCCUCAAAUUCCCCCUGCCCAAUGCCACAUGUGAGCAUGUGGCUUUGAAAGCCACGUCUAGGGUUUAGGAGUUCUGAAGGCAUCCAAACUGGCCCCACUGCACCCUGGACCUUGGAAAUGGGACCGCAACAACAUGUGGAAUGAAAACACAAUAGUGCAGGCCCGAGGGAGAGCCAGAGAAUCUCCGGCCUGGCCACUGCCUGCCGUCCGUGGGGUUCCUCAGUGAGAAUGGACCUAGCCCCUUGCACAAUAUUAACUAUGCUCCCAUUACUCUGUAGGGUCAGCCUUGGUGUUUUCUUCAAUAAAAUUUCUGAUCACGCAGGCUGUGUUCCCCU